Long non-coding RNA from Mercenaria mercenaria, 5546 nucleotides. RefSeq lists it as uncharacterized. The record is from RefSeq and is a predicted model, not a curated record. Lineage: Eukaryota; Metazoa; Mollusca; Bivalvia; Venerida; Veneridae. The transcript has 2 exons.
UAAACAGAAUAUGGUCAAUGAGAUAAAUGUGUGAUAAAGCAGGAAGGAAAGAGCAGCUCACCAGUAACUGAUGUGAUAAAAAAUUAGCUUCUGAAUAGGGCAUGAAGCAGAGGAGCUUUUUACUGCAUCUGGAAAAAAACAGCAGUUGAGAUAGGAUUCAGGAAGGAUAUCAAGCUGCCCAGAAAAUUUGAUGAUUUAAAUGUUUUGAAAAAGUCUUAACAUUCUCAAAGCACUGAUGGACAAAAAUUCAAUCCAGUCACAACAUAAUUACAGCUAAGGCGUGUAAUGGGAUGGACAUUGUCUAGGACUGAUAAUUCAUGGACAUUUUGGUCUGUUAUUACAAGAAAUUCUUCCUGAGUGUGUUCCAAAGUGUGAUUUCAUGAUAAGAUGUGUAAGGGGUUUUUAUCCGCAGUCUUGGUUAGCUGCUGUUUUAAAAAAACUGCCUAGACAAUGUUAAUUAUACAUAUAUUUAUGGUAUACUUCCUCUUAAAAAUAGAUUUUGGGCACAAGUUGUGAUAUUGUUUGCAGAAUUUUAAACGACGAAUGAAUUAUGAUAAGUAUUGUUAGUGGAAAUUUCUAAAAUUAAUUUGCAAAUAUAAGAUAAUUCAAAAUUAAGGAAAUCAUCCAGUUGAAAACACAACAUCGAUAAUAUCAUUGAAAUAUGAUCAGUUUGGGCAACUGAUGUCAGUUUUUGAAAAGGCAUACCUUCUUACAGUGUUACAAGCUUUAAGUGAAGUGAAGUCAGUGGAAAUAUUGCAAAUUAUGGUGUUUUUCUUGUUUUGCUUCAUUGAAGUAUAUUAAUUUAAAGCUAGAACAAUCCUUGUAUGUAAAAGUUUUAGGAAUAGCAACAGACAUAGAAACGCAAUCGGAAACCAGUGUCAGAAUAUUAGAAAGAGGUUCUCCCUGUUGUUUUAGCCCACCUGAGCAAAAAGUGCUUAUGAUGUACUUGGAUAGUUGGAUGUCCAACCCCCAUAUAUCAUUGUCUACAAUUUCUUAAAGAACAUUGCCUUCUAAACCACUUUGCCGGUUUCAAGAAGACUUUACAGGAAUGUUUCUUUGGUUAUCCCCUUUCAGAAUCCUUCACAUCUAAUUCAUUCCUGCAGAAUGCUUGUUUUGCCAUUCCAGCCAAAAGGAAACAUUUAAAAAGAUCAUCAUCUUAGACAGAGCUCCCCUGAUUUUGAUCUAGCAUAACAGAUAAUAAUUAUGUUCAUUGGGUGACCCUCUACCGUAUUCCUUCAAUCACUUUGUUUUGUUAAAAACAUGUCGACCAGGUAGCAGAAAUAGUUUUCCCUAUAUGUAUAUGGCUAUAAUUUAAAGAGAACUUUGAAACUGCACGAUUGAUUUUAGAAUAUUUUACAGCAAUGUUUUCCAACUGCAUGUAAGUAGUGUCUGUAUUAAUUAUAGUACAAUAAUGGAAUACUUACAUAUGUUUGAAAGAAUAAAAUUUAAUGAAACAAUUGAAAAAAUGCAAUGAGAAUAAAGUAAAUUGUUUUCUUGUGCAUUUAUUGUAUAUACCUAUCUGUGAGAAGCAUUAUCAGUUAGUUUCUUUAAUUGACAAUAGAAUUAUGCAGAAGAAAAUUGUGUUAUACUUUGGGGAAAAACUGUUUUCAGUAUGUUUUGUGUUUCAUCACAUAAAAGCAACAAGUGCUCAAGGUGAGCGACUGGUGGUCUUCCUUCCUGCACUGUAAACAAUUUGACUGAUAACACUCUGUCACAAUUUUAGCCCAGUCUUAAGGUGUUAGACGCCUAAUAGAGUACCUCCUUUUUGAAGAGUAUUCAAUUCGUACCAUAAACCUACUUUUACUGCUAUUCUCAAUGGGUUGUAGGUUCAAGCCCUACUUGGACCAAAUUUUUAUGCCUCCCGGCAUCUACUGAUGUGGGAGGCAUAUAGUGAUUGUCCUGACCGUCCGUUCGUUCGUCCGUCUGUACGAGGUUAACCAAAUGGGACCGUUUCGUCUAGCAUCAAUACCCCUUACUAAAAUGUCUGUACGAGGUUUACCAAAAUGGGACCGUUUCGUCUAGCAUCAAUACCCUUUACUAAAAUGACAUCACCUGACCUCAGUUUGACCUUGACCUCAUUUUGGACUUAGGUUGCUUUAUAUAGGCCAUCUCUUGGUUAACCAAAUGGGACCGUUUCGUCUAGCAUCAAUAGCGCUUACAAGAAUGAAUUAAUACUAAUACAGAUGUAACCUGUGACCAUUCCUCAUCUUCAAACAUCACCUGACCUCAGUUUGGCCUUGAUCUUGACCUCAUUUUGGACUUUGGUUGCUUUAUAUGGGCCAUCGCUUGGUAAAUCAAAUGGGAACGUUUCGUCUAGCAUCAAUACCCCUUACUAGAAUGACUUGAUACUAAUGCAGAUGUAACCUGUGACCAUUCCUGAUCUUCAGACACCACCUGACCUCAGUUUGACCUUGACCUUGCCCACAUUUUGGACUUAGGUUGCUUAGUAUUGGCUAUCUCUUGGUUAACCAAAUUGGACCGUUUCGUCUAUCAUCAAUACUGCUUACAAGAAUGAAUUGAUACUAUUACAGAUGUAACUUGUGACCAUUCUUCAUCUUCAAACAUCACCUGACCUCAGUUUGACCUUGACCUUGACCUCAUUUUGGACUUGGGUUGCUUCAUAUGGGCCAUCUCUUGGUUAACCAAAUGGGACUGUUUCGUCUAGCAUCAGUACCGCUUACAAGAAUGAAUUGAUUCUAAUACAGAUAUAACCUGUGACCAUUCCUCAUCUUCACACAUCACCUGACCUCAAUUUGACCUUGACCUCAUUUUGGACUUAGGUUGCUUUGUAUUGACAAGGAUGCCACCGGGGACAUCAAGCUCCUUGUUUUUCCUUAUUUUCCUUUUUUUCUAGUAAGUUUUUACUUCUUUCAAGACUUAAAAUUGAUUUAUUGUACAAAAAUGGAAAAAAAAAAUAAUCUGAUAAGUGAUUUCUUGCUUUCAAAGUAAAUUGACUACUUAAACAGAAGAGGUUGAGUUACACAUCUUUAAAAAUAUUGAGUUACAUGCGGUAAAAUUUCUCUAUUUUGCUUUCACUCUUUAGAUUAAAUAUCGUGGAAGAAAUUUAAGUAGGUUUUACGUCUACCCAAAACAGAAACACAGGAUUCGACCUUACUUUUUCAAUGUAGAAGUUAGAAUUCUAUCUCAUUAAAUUUGUUUACUUGAGGUACCCUAGAAAAAAUAUUGACAUUUUAAUUUUUUGUUUUAUAAUUGUUUACCAAUAGUUUGAUGUGUCUUUUAUUAAAAUUAAUGGUAAAAUGAGUUCUCUGCAAACGUUUUGAAUAGUGGCUAUCACUUUGAAAUUUGUCUCUACUUGACUGGGAAAUACCGUAAGUUAUACAAAAUUUAUAAAAAAAAAAUGGCAUGGUAAAAGUUGUUUAAAAAUUGCAAAACAGUGCGAAACAUGGUCACCUUUAAGAAUAUACCAAGCAAAUGCCAUUUUGUAAACAUUACUAUUAGGCAUCUAAUACCUUAAUGAAACUUGUCAAAAUAUAAUUCUCAAUCAAAUUGACAAGUUUGUUACAUUGUCAUGUAGGGUCAAAAGUUAGGUCAGUUUAUAGGAACAUCUUGUAAACAUUCCAGUAUUUGUCUAUUUGAAAUCUAGAACAAGUGCAAAACUGGGUUACUCAUCUCUGUGCACAAAAUCAUGAAAAAACUUGUUAACACUCUAGACACCACACAGGAUGUACAAGGCUGUAGUAAAUUUCAUGUGUGUGCUGGCUGUAGUGGUUAGCAAGUGUGUAAAUAAUUCUGCUUAAAACUGAAUUUUCAAUAUUGUUCAGUGGAAAUGGCAUACUUGUCUUAUAUUCUGCAGUGGACUCUUACAAAGGUCAUUGUUUUCUAAUGUCUGUGUAUAUCCAUUCUGAAUUGACUGUCAUUUGUGUACACAAUUGCAUGUGUAAUGUCAGUAGUGCUCAUGUUACUAGUAUGUUUCAAUUUAUAGAAUUUUAAAAUACCUCUGGUUUUAAUGUUCGUAACAGCUUUGCUGUUGUUUUUUUGUUAGAGAUUGUUUAAAACGAGAAAUGAUCAUUAUUAAUUUACUGGACAACAGACAUAAAUCACAGGUCCAUAGUUUGUGCUAAUGACUGGGCUAUAUUCGUCACAAUGUUUACAUGGCUAAUAAGUCAAACAUUUAGAAAUUUAACUUGCAAUUUCUAAUGUCCUACAUUAAAAUACUUACUGAAUGGUUUGCCAGUCAAUAAAUAUAUAUUAUUACACAACUUUAAUAAAUCACCAGGUCAUAGUUUGUACUAUUGGCUUGUCUAUUGUAGCACUUAAUUUGCUGGGCUAAAGUCAAAAUUCGAAAAAAAAUAUGAAAAUUAAUUUUUGAUGUGAUGUAAUAAAAUGAUUAAUGAAUGGAAAGGACCGUAGGCAAUGGUUUUGACUAUUGAUUGGCAAGUCAUUAGUUAGUUCUUGUAAUUUGUUUUACUGAAUAAUGAAUUGGGGUAUACUACUACUGUCAACACACUGCACUGUACUGUUUGUUUUGGUAAUACAUUGUAUUUAGAACAUAUAUUGAUACGCAGAAAUUUGAUUUCCUAGUACAUAUGAGCCACGCCUUGAGAAAACCAACAUAGUGGCUUUACGACCAGCAUGGAUCCAGACCAGCCUGCGCAUCUGCAAGUCUGUUCAGGAUCCAUACAGUUCGCUAAUGAUUUCUCUAAUUGCAACAGACUUUGAAAGCAAACAGCAUGGAUCCUGACCAGACUGCAGCUCUUGUUUACUGUCCUGUCCAUAACUCUUGUCAUCUAUGAAAGGAUUUUAAUAGUAGUUGGUUUAAAUGUUUGCAAAAAUCAAAUGUUGUGUCAUGCAAAAUACCAAGACCCCUUGUUCAGAAGUGAAGGUCACACGUUACUAGUGUUUUUUUCCUGUCCUGUCCAUGAUUCUGUCUUCUUUGAAGGCAUUCUUAUAUAACAUGGUACAAAGGUAUCCAAUAGUGAGAUGAUAUGUCAUGCACAACACCUAGAUCUAUAACAAAAAGGUCAAGGUCGCACUGAGAGAUCAAAUGUCAAUAGUUUCUUUUUCUGUCCAUCAAGGGAUUUAAAUAUUAUCUGACAUUAAUGUUCCCCAUAUUGCCAAGGUGUGUUGUGCACAACACCCAGAUCCCAGGCUACAAAGGUCAAGAUCACACUUUUUUCCCCGGUGCGGUCCAGAAUUCUAGGCAGCCAUUAAGUGAUUUAAAUUUUUUUUUCGACACAAACCUUUCCAGUAAUGAGACGAUAUGUGUCAUGAACAUAACUCAGAUCCAAAACUCAGCGGUCAAGAUAAAAGUUCAAUAGGGGUUUUCCUUGUCUAGUCCCAUAUAGGUUAUGAAAAUCUCAACCAAACACCUAGAUAUUAUCAAAUGAAACAGUACGGGGGUAUGCACUUUUUCAAAAGUAGUCUCUUGUUUGUUAUAAAUAGUACUUCAAUGGGCAUUGUAGCACCUGCAUGGUUCUUUUCUUUCAAUACAGCUGUAUAUUUUGGUAUUCAUGGGCAAUUGUCAUUGAGCCGCCAAUACUUUUGGUGAUGUGUAAGAAGUAUGAAUAAAAGACUGUGAACUGAAA